Calidris pygmaea (Spoon-billed sandpiper) is the source of this 158-nucleotide unclassified non-coding RNA. Lineage: Eukaryota; Metazoa; Chordata; Aves; Charadriiformes; Scolopacidae. The record is from Ensembl.
UUGACAACCCUGGAGACUGAAGUCUUCUGUUUACCCAGAGAAUAAGCACAGCACGGGAAAGCUGCAGUGCAGGCUCCCUUCAGGUGCUGCCUAAGCCAACGUGCCUCAGCCUUGACCUGGUGAGAAAUUCAUCCCUUCCCAUCACAGCUCGAGCUGUU